This 1941-nucleotide unclassified non-coding RNA is filed under the name Hevea brasiliensis (rubber tree). Lineage: Eukaryota; Viridiplantae; Streptophyta; Magnoliopsida; Malpighiales; Euphorbiaceae. The record is from RNAcentral.
AACUGAAUUUUGCUUUUUUUUUUUCAUAAUAAUCUUGGCAAACAAUCCAAGAUCUGACUUUUGAAAUAGAAAUUAGGAUGGGAUUGAUCUCAGUAUAUUAACUGAGAAGAAUAACAUAAAACCUACCAAAUAUUUAUAUUUAUUUGCCCAUCUAAAUUAGGAAAUUUAAAAAAAAAUUAACAAAGUAUGAUUAGGAAACAAAUAAUGAUAUAGGCAAACGCACAGUUGAGAUAAGCCAUAAUGGGUUCUCAACUUGACUCUCACCCCGCCCCAUCAAAAAUCAAAAUAAAUAAAUAAAACUUUGUACCUUCGGUUCCGAACCAAAAUAAACAUUUCACCAAUCAUCAUGGCAUCUGUGCACAUGGGGCUGCCACAGACCUUCAACAACAUAAUAAAAAUUAAAAUAAUCAACGUACACCAAACAUAAUUACCACUAUUCAAAUCUAAAUUUUAAGUCCAUCAUAGUGCCAAACAUUCUUCAAUUCAAAAUUCCCAAAUCAUUAAAUUGAAGAAUGAAUAGAUAAAUAUACAACAAAUUUCCUAUAAAUUCAGCUGGCAACUUCACUCCUGAGCGCAGUAGAUAAUUAACUAAACACCUCCAUUCUUUGUAAGUCAAAUUAAAAGGAUUCUCCUUCAACCCCCAUUCUCAUUAAUUAGUCAUUAGCUUCAUAAUCAUGACAUAAUCUUCUCCCCUUCAUCCCAUAAUUCCCUUAAUGCAUUAUCAUCUACGCCUCCUUUACUGUCCCAAUCAAAGCUUAAAUUAUACCAUUCUUCAUCAAAUGGUGAUGAUUCACAAUUAUACAGUUCCCAAGCAGCAGUAGCAGUACUGCUGCUUUCUUUCUCCUGAUCAUUUGCAGCCACUCUGUCUGGACCCAUCACUUCAUUUCCUCUCCCUUCACUACCACCAAGUACCCCAUUUUCUUCUCUCUCUUUGUUAAGUGUGUCAAUAAUAUCGUUCCCACUUGGAUCCACAGCUUUGCCUUGCAGAACAUAUUUAAGCAGAUUUAUUUCACUGUCUAGCCAUUCAUAUGGUCCCCAGACCUCAAUUUCUCCAUCCUUUUUAGGGCACACUCCGGCUGCAUUAAAUCUUUCAUCGCCAUCUUUACAUGAGGAACCCUGCACACCAUUAUUACAGAGGUAUUUUUUAGUGUUUUCUGGCUCGCUUGUAGAGUUCUCUGGGGCCAAACCCAUUCUUUGGUUACUCUGUUCAAUUUGUACUGUAGAGGCAUUAUUAGGAGAGGAUGCUGGUUCAGGCACUCCUUCAGUUAGGGUUUCGCUCUUAGGCUUUGCUACUGAUAUUGGUGUGUUGCCCUUGCGUUUUUUAAUGGCUGAUCGACCACUUCUACCACUUAUCGACUUGCGUAGUCCAGCAAUAUUGGCAAUAUCUAUGGAAGUGAUGGUUGAGGAGGAUAUGGAAUCUUUCUUGGAGAAGCUGUAAAUUUUUCUUCUCAAAUGAGAGUUCCAGUAAUUCUUUAUCUCAUUGUCAGUUCUUCCUGGCAAUUGUGCAGCGAUCAUAGACCAUCUAUUACCCAAAGCUCUGUGCAACUUAACAAUGGUUUCUUCCUCUUGUGUGGUGAUGUUCCCUCUCUUCAAGUCAGCUCUUAAGUAAUUAAUCCAUCUCAGUCUGCAGCUCUUACCACACCUUAGCAACCCUGCAUUUUUGGGUAGUGAUCUCCAUGAGCCUUCUCCAUUGGCUAGAAUGUAUUUAGUCAAGAUUUCAUCUUCUUCAGCUGUCCAUCUCCCUUUCUUUAAUCCCACUUUCUCACAACAUGGUGCUCUUCCCAUUUCUGCUAGCUAUAGAUGCUUUCUGUACAGUACCAGGGCUCAGCUAAUCCCUUAAGGGAACAUGACUUUUGAUAGAGAGAGAGAGAGAGAGGAGUUGUUUUUCUUCUUUUUGUUUCUUUCCCGGAAAAAGAGAAGCUGAUGGGAGCUGGGGUUGUG